AACCCUUGUCCUUAGUUACCAGCACGUUAUGGUGGGCACUCUAAGGAGACUGCCGGGUGACAACCGGAGGAAGGUGGGGAUGACGUCAAGUCAUCAUGGCCCUUACGGCCUGGGCUACACACGUGCUACAAUGGUCGGUACAAAGGGUUGCCAAGCCGCGAGGUGGAGCUAAUCCCAUAAAACCGAUCGUAGUCCGGAUCGCAGUCUGCAACUCGACUGCGUGAAGUCGGAAUCGCUAGUAAUCGUGAAUCAGAAUGUCACGGUGAAUACGUUCCCGGGCCUU
RNAcentral lists this ribosomal RNA (283 nucleotides) under uncultured Pseudomonas sp. RNAcentral's name for it is "partial 16S ribosomal RNA". It matches the Rfam family "Bacterial small subunit ribosomal RNA", at positions 1100 to 1382 of the family's 1533-position model. Lineage: Bacteria; Pseudomonadati; Pseudomonadota; Gammaproteobacteria; Pseudomonadales; Pseudomonadaceae. The record is from RNAcentral.